AUGGCGACGUCUCCUUCCCCUAAGAAGAAGCAGGUGCUUCUGCCGAUAGUCGCCGGCACGGAGCCGAUCGAGGCGUCCAUCCCCAUCGACAUCCUCCGCCGCGCCGGCGCCGACGUCACCGUCGCUUCCGCAGGCGACGCCCUUCUGGUCGAGAUCAUGUACGGCGUCAAAAUAAUGGCCGACGAGCUCCUGGCUGACUGCGCCGCCGCUUCCUACGACCUCAUCGUCCUCCCCGGUGGUGUUCCUGGCGCUGUGAAUCUCGGUGGCUCUGCGACGUUGGAGAGCAUAGUGAGGAAGCACGCAGAGAAGGGAGGACUCUACGCUGCCAUAUGCGCUGCACCGCCGCUGGCGUUGGCGUCCUGGGGCCUACUCAAUGGACAUAAGGCUACGGGUCAUCCAUGGUUCGUCGAGAAGUUCCCUCCCGAGGUUACCGCCGUGGACGCGAACGUGGUGGUGGACAGCAACGCCGUGACGGGCACUGGGCCGGCGACGUCGAUGGAGUUUGCGCUGGCUUUGGUGGAACAGCUCUACGGGAAGGAGAAGGUCGAGCAGAUCGCUAAACCAAUGCUAGUGAGAUACGAAUGUGGCUAUAGCAUGAAAGAAGUCAACUCGGUCGAGUGGCACUGCAGCGGCACACCCAAGGUUCUUCUUCCACUAGCCAACGGCAUUGAGGAGAUGGAGGCGAUAAUACUCGUGGACGCGCUGCGCAGAGCCAAAGCAGACGUCGUGGUCGCGUCCAUCGAGGGCGGCGUCGAGAUCACCGCGCGAUACGGGACAAGGAUCGUGGCCGACGUGAUGCUGGGCGAGGCCGCCGAUCGGGCGCCCUUCGAUCUGAUCAUCGUGCCGGGCGGCAUGCCGGGCGCGAAGACGCUGGGCGGCUGUGAGCAGCUCGUCGCUCUGCUGAAGAAGCAGGCGGAAGCGAACAGGCCAUACGGCGCGAUCGGCGCCGCCACCGCCCACGUGCUCGAGCCCCAUGGCCUGCUCAAGGGUAGGAAGGCGACGACGUGCGCAUCCAUGGCCGGGCUGCUCACGGACGGUAGCGAGUGCGAGAACAGGGUGGUGGUCGACGGGAACGUGAUCACGAGCAGGAGCCCCGGCACCGCCAUGGAGUACGCGGUGGCCGUCGUCGAGAAGAUGCUGGGCCGCGACGAGGCGCGGCGACUGGCGGAAGGCCUGCUCUUCUUGGGCUGA
Molecule: ribosomal RNA, 1191 nt
Filed under: Triticum aestivum (bread wheat)
Lineage: Eukaryota; Viridiplantae; Streptophyta; Magnoliopsida; Poales; Poaceae
Description: partial small subunit ribosomal RNA
Source: RNAcentral